This 325-nucleotide ribosomal RNA is filed under the name uncultured eukaryote. Its description in RNAcentral is "partial 18S ribosomal RNA". It matches the Rfam family "Eukaryotic small subunit ribosomal RNA", at positions 1470 to 1796 of the family's 1831-position model. The record is from RNAcentral.
CCCUUAGAUGUCCUGGGCCGCACGCGCGCUACACUGAUGCAUUCAACGAGUAUUUCCUUGGCCGAGAGGCCUGGGCAAUCUUUUAAACCUGCAUCGUGAUAGGAAUAGAUUAUUGCAAUUAUUAAUCUUGAACGAGGAAUUCCUAGUAAACGCAAAUCAUCAAUUUGCAUUGAUUACGUCCCUGCCCUUUGUACACACCGCCCGUCGCACCUACCGAUUGAAUGGUCCGGUGAAAUCUCGGGAUUGUGGCCAGUUCACUUUAUUGGGAGUUGGCUGCGAGAACUUGCUUAAACCUUAUCAUUUAGAGGAAGGUGAAGUCGUAACA